AAGCCGGGUUACGGUGCCCAACUGCACGCUAACCUAGAACCCACAAAGGGUGUUGGUCGAUUAAGACAGCAGGACGGUGGUCAUGGAAGUCGAAAUCCGCUAAGGAGUGUGUAACAACUCACCUGCCGAAUCAACUAGACCCAAAAAUGGAUGGUGCUGAAGCGCGUGACCCACACCCGGCCAUCUGGGCGAGCGCCAUGCCCCGAUG
Molecule: ribosomal RNA, 208 nt
Filed under: Hordeum vulgare subsp. vulgare (domesticated barley)
Lineage: Eukaryota; Viridiplantae; Streptophyta; Magnoliopsida; Poales; Poaceae
Description: Eukaryotic large subunit ribosomal RNA
Rfam family: Eukaryotic large subunit ribosomal RNA
Source: Rfam by way of RNAcentral